GCGUUCGGAGUGUAAAAGUUAGCACACUCGGCUCAUAUUCGAGAGGUUCAGUGUUCGAUUCCCGGCGAGAGCA
Molecule: transfer RNA, 73 nt
Filed under: Stegodyphus mimosarum
Lineage: Eukaryota; Metazoa; Arthropoda; Arachnida; Araneae; Eresidae
Rfam family: tRNA
About the family: Transfer RNA (tRNA) molecules are approximately 80 nucleotides in length. Their secondary structure includes four short double-helical elements and three loops (D, anti-codon, and T loops).
Source: Rfam by way of RNAcentral